This 540-nucleotide ribosomal RNA is filed under the name uncultured organism. RNAcentral's name for it is "bacterial SSU rRNA". It matches the Rfam family "Bacterial small subunit ribosomal RNA", at positions 872 to 1410 of the family's 1533-position model. The record is from RNAcentral.
CCUGGGGAGUUAUCACCGCAAGUGUUAACUCAAAGGAAUUGACGGGGGGCUCGCACAAACGGUGGAGCAUGUGGUUUAACUCGAUGAUAAGCGAAGAACCCUACCUGGGCCUAAACUUGUAGUGACCGUCUGUGAAAGCAGAUUUCUCUUCGGAGCACUAUGAGAGGUGCUGGCAUGGCUGUCGUCAGCUCGUGUCGUGAGAUGUUGGGUUAAGUCCCGCAACGAGCGCAACCCUUAUCCUAUGUUGCUACGAUCUUUUGAUCAGGACUCUUAGGAGACUGCCGAGGUUAACUCGGAGGAAGGCGAGGAUGACGUCAAGUCCUCAUGGCCCUUAUGUCCAGGGCUACACACGUGCUACAAUGGGAAGUAUAAAGAGCAGCGAAGUCGCGAGGCGGAGCGAAUCUCAAAAAACUUCUCUCAGUUCAGAUCGCAGUCUGCAACUCGACUGCGUGAAGCUGGAAUCGCUAGUAAUCGCCGAUCAGAAUGCCGCGGUGAAUACGUUCUCGAGCCUUGUACACACCGCCCGUCACACCACCCGAG